GUACAAAGGUAGCAUAAUCRUUAGUUUUUUAAUUGAAAACUUGUAUGAAUGGUUGAAUGAGAAAUUAACUUUUUUAAAAAAAUAAUUGAAUUUUACUUUUUAAUUAAAAGGUUAAAAUAAAUUUAAAAGACGAGAAGACCCUAUAGAGUUUUAUAAUUUUUAUUUAAUAUUUUAAAAAGAUAAAUUUAAAUUUUAUAAAAAAAAUUAUUUUGUUGGGGUGAUUAUAAAAUUUAAGAAACUUUUAUUUUUUUUUUACAUUAAUAUAUGAUUUUAUGAACCAUUAUUUAAUGAUUAAAAAUUUAAAUUACCUUAGGGAUAACAGCGUAAUUUUUUUUACAAGUUCAUAUUAAUAAAAAAUUUUGCGACCU
RNAcentral lists this ribosomal RNA (368 nucleotides) under Pseudolycoriella jaschhofi. Its description in RNAcentral is "partial 16S ribosomal RNA". The record is from RNAcentral. Lineage: Eukaryota; Metazoa; Arthropoda; Insecta; Diptera; Sciaridae.